UCAUCGGAUGCUUCAGCAGCUGGUGCCUAAAAGUGUUUGGGAAGAACAGAAAUGUUAUGUUUUCACUCCAGCAAAGCCCCACUCUAACCCACCUGCUGAACAGGAGUCACAAUUAAAUCAAAAGAAGGAAAAAAGCCCUCUGACACCAUAACUCUGAAGUAACAGCCUUCUAUACUUUUGGAUCAAACCACCGCUUCACAACUCCCACCUACUUCAAUUCCAGGGAUUUGCACCUGAGUGCCAAAACUUCUGAUUAUACCAACCCUAACAUCUUCUUCCACUCCAAAAGACAGAGGAACCAUGAAUACUUGGAAAAUUACUGCUCAUAAAAUAUCCUUUAAAAGAUGAUGUGGUCUCAGGGAUUACAAUUCAUAAAAAUGUACCUGUUUCUUACAGAGACUAAGUGAGUGAGGUAAUGUCUUUUAUUGGACCAAUUACCUCACCCACCUUGUCUCUCUAAUAUACUGGGACUGACACAGCUACACCUAUACCUAUUUCUUCAACACUUUUAGCCUAGUAGUGUAUAGCAAUUAUUUUAUACUAACGUGACAAAACUCACUAAAUGGGACCAUUUGUAUAAAGCCUCAAGAGACCUUCAUAAAGGUUAAUGGGCUAGAACAUUUGCCCAGUACUAGUGGUGUGGAGGGUCCUCUUCAGGGUCUCUCUCCCUCCCACCACUUCCCAAACAAAGAAAUGGUAGUGGUGAUCUACCUUCAGAGCACCUUCCUUGUGGAGUCCCUUCCAUAGGAUUGGGGGUUGAUGGUUGAAGAAGGGAAUCCAUUCCUGCCUCUCUCCCACGGGAAACUAAUGGAAUCUUAUUAACUGUUCCACAGCCUUCUCUUUACUGGGAAAGCACCAUCUUAAAAGAGGUUCCAGGAGCAGCCAAUGACUCGGGAUUUCUUGGUAGCACAAGCUCUUAUGGAGUCAUUCUGUCAGGGACACAGGAUCUCUACACAAAAAGCCAUGGCCUGCCACAGAUUCCAGACAUCAACGUCAAUCCCUGGCUUCUGGGGACAAAACUACUGGCCAUUCUGCAACAUUGGUGUGUGAUAUAUCUGUUCCCAGAACAGAAUGAUCCUGCACAAGGGAAUCCUGAUGGAAUUUUUCGUUUCUAGGCCUUCUCCUGCAGCUCUUUCCAUGGGAGGAGGGCCAAUGUCAUUUUAAUAAUUUUUCCUGAAUGAAUGGGAAGCCCAAAGAUGGCAACAUCAGGUGAUUAAUACAUCAUGUGAUUUUUUUCAACCCUACUUUAUUUAAUAAGGAUAUAUUUAAGAGGAUGAAAGCUAUUCUUAUAAUGAUAAACAAAAAGCUGUUAAAAGAAUGUUAAGGAUGAAAAUGUUAAUGAUGAAAAGUUAAAAUUGGACAGUGCCGGAAUUACAGUAGCCUCUGAAACCUACAUUUCAUCUCCUUGUGUGUACAUAUUGAUAGCCUCGCCCAGCAUCUCCUCAGAGUCUCUGAGAGAGCCACGAGUAGAACCCAGCUCCUCUGGGUCCAAGUCCAGAGCCUUACACACAAGAGAACAUUCUCCUUUUCCUUGCAACCCACUACUUCAUUCACUGUGCAAUGAAUGAGGCACUACUCUGGGCGAACAAAUACUAUGUGAUCAUUUAAUUAGACUGCAACACGAUGCUAUGUACUUGGGGGGGGCCACACUACCUAUGGACAGUCAACUUUAAUUGUGAUAUUUCCUAACUGUUGAAGGAUUAAGUUUGCACCUAACAUUCUAUUAACAGUUUUUUUAUGUAGUUUCUUAAGUUUUUUAAAAAGCAAAUUGAAAAAAACAAAGUGCAUCACGAGGCACCACAGUGAUUUCUGCAUGAGUCAGCAGCAGCAGAGUCUGAACUCAGGACCUUUUGACCCACAAAACAGCUAAAAGGGAAACUCAUGGUAUCAGUAGGUUCUCGUCUUCUAUGUAGAUUCGCCACUAUAUGGAGCCAAUACACACUUUGCUAGUGACUUGCGCAUGUCUGUUUGUGAGACAGGAGAAGAAUGCUCAGUCUCAAGCUUCUUAAGUUCUGUUACUGGCUCUGGAUUGUGGUCUACUGGCUCAACUGUAGAACUAAGUAUGUAGAUUUGUAACCUUUGUUCUGAAAGGCACAGUACCUAAGUGGAUGAGACUUGGGUCUGCCAUAUUCGAGACCUAUGUUCUAUUCCCAGCUGUCCCUGAAGUGACUUCGUGCAACCUUUCAGUUACUUCAAGUGUAAAAUGGGGAGGGAGAAUAAUAGUUGCCUGUCCCUUAAGGUGUAUGAGGCCUUGUUUAAUAAGGGCUGUUAAGAAUACAUUAUAAACAUCAGAAAGUGGAAGCAGAACUCAUGAUCUCCUGGCUUUUAUCCUAGCACUCCUUUGUAUAGGGUAAAGGAUAUUUUGCAGUUGCUGCUUUGCUUGGGUAUCCAUUCAGAGCCACAAAGAGAGCUGUGAGUCACAGAGCAUGCUCAGACUGUUGGAUUUUUCAGAUAUUUUAACAGGAAGCCUCUAACUUGCUCUGCUGAGAAUGUGCAAAAGGUGAUGCUCAAAGGCCUAUAAUUUGGCCACAUCUGGGUGAAUUUUCAACAGGUCAACAAAAGACACUUCUUUGAUCCCACAACUAUCCCCUGCCAAAUUUUGAGUUCCUGCUCUAAAGCACCAAGGAGCUUUAAAAAAAAUGGUUGGAAAUUUAAUAUUAAAAAAAAAAUCAGGAAAAAAUAGGUAGUUUUGCUAACUUCAUUCUCAGAAAAGGUAUUUUUUCUGAACAUUAAAAAAAUAUAUAUCUAGCCUGAGGAGAUAAAGCAUAGAAAAUUUUAAUCCCAGUGGUUAAAGUCUGACAAAUUAAUACGCAACUGAAAACAGGGCCUUACUAUGUACAGUGUAAAACACUUUCUUAUAGGCAUAGCUACCGGCACUGCCUACAAUUAUGGCUCUGUGGUCUCUAUUCCACACAUAUUGUUAGGAGAUUGAUGCUUUGAAUAGUCUCCCAUGGCAAGCAGUGAAAGAAUCAUCACAAUUUGUUUAAAAUUUCUUCAGACAAAUCACUCAAGAAUUUACCAUAGGGAAUGUUCCUGCACUGGAAGUAGUGUGAAAAAGAACACUCACUAGCUCUUUGCCAUCUGUAAUUUCUAAGAUACUGAUAGAGAUUCCUCUAACUGGGCAAAAUACAUAAUCUCAUUAAAAAUAUUAAAAAACUAA
This is a long non-coding RNA of Caretta caretta (loggerhead turtle), 3160 nucleotides long. RefSeq lists it as uncharacterized. The record is from RefSeq and is a predicted model, not a curated record. Lineage: Eukaryota; Metazoa; Chordata; Testudines; Cheloniidae.